CUUCCCUCAUGUGUCCUCCUCUAUAAUCCCUCGCUUGAACUUGACGCCACAUCCUUCUGGAAUAAUCUGUGUCGCUGACACGCCUCAUUUCUCCUUUCGCGCAGCAAAGGGAAGAUGAGUAGUCGCUCGAGCCGCACUCUGUACGUGGGGAAUUUGCCUGGGGAUAUUCGUUUGAGAGAAGUGGAGGAUCUGUUUUAUAAGUAUGGACCUAUUGUUGAUGUUGACUUGAAGAUCCCACCAAGGCCCCCAGGUUAUGCUUUUGUUGAGUUUCAUGAUGCUCGUGAUGCAGAAGAUGCUAUUCGUGGUCGUGAUGGUUAUAAUUUUGAUGGUUAUCGACUAAGAGUUGAGCUUGCACAUGGAGGGCGAAGACAGUCAUCAUCUGUUGAUCGGUACAGCAGUUAUAGUGGUAGCAGUGGUCGUGGGCCUUCCAGGCGCUCUGAUUAUCGGGUUCUGGUGACUGGGCUACCCCCAUCUGCCUCUUGGCAGGACCUAAAGGAUCACAUGCGCAAAGCAGGGGAUGUCUGUUUUUCUCAAGUGUUUCGUGAUCGUGGUGGCAUGACUGGAAUAGUAGAUUACACAAACCAUGAUGAUAUGAAAUAUGCUAUUAGGAAACUGGAUGACUCUGAGUUUCGGAAUGCAUUUUCUCGGGCUUAUAUAAGGGUGAGAGAGUAUGAUUCUAGCUACUCGAGGAGCCCUAGUCGCAGCCCAUAUGAUUCAAGAAGCAGAAGCAGAAGCAGAAGUCGAAGUCGCAGCCGCAGCUAUAGUGGCAGAAGCAAGAGCAAGUCUCCAAGGGCAAAAUCUUCUCGUCGUUCUCGGUCUAUUUCUCCUCCUAGAUCCCUUUCUCCGCAUUCUCGUUCGGGAUCACCUCCUCGCUCUAUGUCAAGAUCUGGCUCUAUGCGGCGACUUGGGGAUUGGAUGUUAGGAACUUGAUGGGAUGUGGUGCUCACGUACCUGUAUCUCAUUUAUUGUGGAGGUAAUGUUGUUGCUCUUGUCAGUGAGGGUUAACCUGUUUGUUUGCUAGAUCUGGCUCUUGCUGCAACAUGGGGAUUGGAUAUUAGGGACUUGAUGGGAUUUGGUGUUCACAUGCGUCAUGCUUGUAUCUCAUAUAUUUUGGAGGUAAUGUUACUUCUGUCAGUGGGCACCUGUGGAAAACCUUAAAAUAUUUCAAUGCUAAUAUGUUAUGCAUGUGUGCCUAUGAGUGUGAUGGAUCGGAGCAAUCUAGAUGGAUUGGUGACAUUGUCAAAGCUGGAUUUCCCUGAACUAGAUACUUUUGGUUGUACUACAAGGCACAUACUUGCAGUAGGGGCAAAAUAAGGACUUCUUCGACCUCUCUUUAACUUGUGUCCAGAAUUCUUUGACUUGGUGAUAAAGGUCGAGAGGAUGUGAUUCUCAUUUCUGUGUUUAUGGUGCUCUAUUGGUUAUUUGCCUUCUCUUUCUGGGUCCAUUAGCUCUCAAGACCUGGUGGGGAAAGGUCAGCUGCCUUAUCGUGCGGUUACAAUUUUGAGAUGUUGAAUCUGAUGCAUUUCGUCAGUUGCUGCUAAUUAUUGAUGAUAAUAGUCACUUCUUUAAUUGUGCUUAGUCUGAGAUCGAAGUGGCAUUGAGGCUUUUGGAUCAAAGGUUAUAAAAUAAAGGAUUGUGCUGGAUAUUGAAUUCAGUUGUUUCUGGCAAUUUUUGCAGAUCUCGUUCCAGAUCGAAAUCUCCACUUUCACCUCCGCGCAGCAAAGGUGCAAGUAAAAGUCCCAGGGAACGCAGUGCUAGCAGGAGCCGUAGCUUGUCUGAAUCUCGUUCACCCUCUGUGAGGUCUGAUUGAUGGCAGCAAUUGGGCGGAGUCCGCAAUUAUCAUUGAGGAUGUCUUGUAGUCAUGUAAAACUUUAUAUUUGUAGACAUUAGGGUUUAAAAUAACUAGGAGUGCAUCGUGUCUGCUCUUGUCGGACUGUAUUUUGCAUGCUGCAGAUUAUUAUUAAAGGAACUUGAUACAGAACCGCAUUGUAUCAAACUUGAAUUGAUCUUAGCUGCUAAUCCUGCUUUAGUAUAUGGGUAUGCGUGAAUGUAGAAAAUACAUUUUGCUU
Molecule: non-coding RNA, 2069 nt
Organism: Carica papaya (papaya)
Lineage: Eukaryota; Viridiplantae; Streptophyta; Magnoliopsida; Brassicales; Caricaceae
Source: RefSeq, a predicted model, not a curated record